This 916-nucleotide ribosomal RNA is filed under the name uncultured bacterium. Its description in RNAcentral is "bacterial SSU rRNA". It matches the Rfam family "Bacterial small subunit ribosomal RNA", at positions 19 to 951 of the family's 1533-position model. The record is from RNAcentral.
CUGGCUCAGGACGAACGCUGGCGGCGUGCUUAACACAUGCAAGUCGAGCGAUGAAACACCUUCGGGCGUGAAUUAGCGGCGAACGGGUGAGGAACACGUGAAGAAUCUGCCUUCAACUCUGGGAUAACUCCGGGAAACCGGGGCUAAUACCGGAUAUGAGCCUUGAUCGCAUGAUCGGGGCUGGAAAGUUUUUCGGUUGAAGAUGACUUCGCGGCCUAUCAGCUUGUUGGUGAGGUAAUGGCUCACCAAGGCGACGACGGGUAGCCGGCCUGAGAGGGCGACCGGCCACACUGGGACUGAGACACGGCCCAGACUCCUACGGGAGGCAGCAGUGGGGAAUAUUGGGCAAUGGAGGAAACUCUGACCCAGCGACGCCGCGUGAGGGAUGAAGGCCUUCGGGUUGUAAACCUCUUUCAGUAGGGAAGAAGCGAAAGUGACGGUACCUACAGAAGAAGCACCGGCUAACUAUGUGCCAGCAGCCGCGGUAAUACAUAGGGUGCAAGCGUUGUCCGGAAUUAUUGGGCGUAAAGAGCUCGUAGGUGGUUCGAUACGUCGGAUGUGAAAAUCAGGGGCUCAACCCCUGACCUGCAUCCGAUACGGUCGAGCUAGAGUUUGGUAGGGGAGACUGGAAUUCCUGGUGUAGCGGUGGAAUGCGCAGAUAUCAGGAGGAACACCGAUGGCGAAGGCAGGUCUCUGGGCCAAUACUGACACUGAGGAGCGAAAGCGUGGGGAGCGAACAGGAUUAGAUACCCUGGUAGUCCACGCCGUAAACGGUGGGCGCUAGUUGUGCGAACCUUCCACGGUUUGUGCGACGCAGCUAACGCAUUAAGCGCCCCGCCUGGGGAGUACGAUCGCAAGAAUAAAACUCAAAGGAAAUGACGGGGCCCGCANCAGCAGCGGAGCAUGCGGCUUAAUU